RNAcentral lists this ribosomal RNA (253 nucleotides) under uncultured bacterium. Its description in RNAcentral is "partial 16S ribosomal RNA". It matches the Rfam family "Bacterial small subunit ribosomal RNA", at positions 524 to 776 of the family's 1533-position model. The record is from RNAcentral.
UACGUAGGGUGCGAGCGUUAAUCGGAAUUACUGGGCGUAAAGCGUGCGCAGGCGGCGCCGCAAGUCAGGCGUGAAAUCCCCGGGCUUAACCUGGGAAUUGCGCUUGAAACUACGGUGCUGGAGUGUGACAGAGGGAGGUGGAAUUCCACGUGUAGCGGUGAAAUGCGUAGAGAUGUGGAGGAACACCGAUGGCGAAGGCAGCCCCCUGGGCUAACACUGACGCUGAUGCACGAAAGCGUGGGGAGCAAACAGG